UACGUAGGGUCCGAGCGUUAAUCGGAAUUACUGGGCGUAAAGCGUGCGCAGGCGGUUCGCAAAGACAGGUGUGAAAUCCCCGGGCUUAACCUGGGAACUGCGCUUGUAACUGGCAAGCUUGAGUGUGGCAGAGGGGGGUGGAAUUCCACGUGUAGCAGUGAAAUGCGUAGAGAUGUGGAGGAACACCGAUGGCGAAGGCAGCCCCCUGGGCUAACACUGACGCUCAUGCACGAAAGCGUGGGGAGCAAACAGG
RNAcentral lists this ribosomal RNA (253 nucleotides) under uncultured bacterium. RNAcentral describes it as "partial 16S ribosomal RNA". It matches the Rfam family "Bacterial small subunit ribosomal RNA", at positions 524 to 776 of the family's 1533-position model. The record is from RNAcentral.